Molecule: long non-coding RNA, 921 nt
Filed under: Lathyrus oleraceus (garden pea)
Lineage: Eukaryota; Viridiplantae; Streptophyta; Magnoliopsida; Fabales; Fabaceae
Description: Pisum sativum (pea) long non-coding RNA (PSAT_LNC003841)
Source: RNAcentral
UCCACCAGAUUGUCUUCUUAUCCUCAUGUAUCCAUCCUCACCCCAAUUUUUACCCCAAGAAUUCUUAAUCAACCAAUAUUUCAACCCUUCUUCAGUUGUCCCAUAACCAACUAUAGUAACUGCAUGGGUGUUUUCUGUUCCACAGGAACCUGAAUAAACACCUUCCUCGUAUGCCUGAAAUUCAGGGCUGGGAGAGAUAGAAACUGUUACUGGUUGUUGUGUCACUGCUGCUAGUAACUGCUCUUCAUCAUUUUGCUUUAUAUAUUUGUAAGAACUUAUGUAAGCAUCAGGCUCACUAUAUUCAUUUAAUUGGCAGGUUUGAACACGUGCUUGGUAGGGAUAAUCAGCUUCUUGAAGAACGCCAUCGCUGUCUAUAAUGGCUUGGAAGCCGUUAUCAAAACUACCACUCACACAACCCUCGCUCUUUUUAUCACAGUCAAUUAGUUGUUGCUCUGACAAUGGCACCAGAAUUCCCUCGCUUAUUUGAUAGACAGCUUCUACAGCAGCCACAGAUGCAAAAGCCCAACAAGCUCCUACAACCAAAAUCCACAAGAAUACUUUCAUUUCUUAUGGCUAAAUUCAAAAUUUACUAAAAAAAACAUAAACAAUAGGAUUAUCUUAUUUACCACAUUUUUUUUAUCUUUAAUAUCGGUCACAGCUCCCUUCAAUCUCCAGUCUAAAUAGUCUAAAUAUGGUGGACUAAUAGAUGUCAAGUUAAAGAGUAUUGUAUUUGAUCUUAUUUGGGAUGAAUUAAGAUGGCUUGGUGCUUUGAAUCCAUUAUAAGAUGCAAUAAACUCUUCAUUAGUUAAAUCAGAAUGUGGAUUUAAACCAAGUGUAUAACUUUUGUUACCAGCAUUAUUAAACUUUUCUAUGUAUUCAAAUUUCUCUUUGAAUAUCUGGAAACGCUUCUCCAUCUCUAAA